GACGCCGUGUUUACCAGCUGCCAAGCUAGUUCGCCACCUCAGCUUUGGCUCUGGGGCCGAGCCAGUCGCCUCCUUCUUUAAGAUUCCAGUCACAGCAGGGGCUGGGUUUCUAAGGCAGGCGUGAUCUUGCUCUGCCUACCAACGCAGCUGCCGCUGCCACUGUCGCUGCCGCCGCCUCUACCGCUGCCGCUCCCGUCGGUGCUGAGCAGAGCCUGAGGCACUGUGCUAAGGGGAGCCUGCGACAGGGUGCCAGGGCGGGCAGGCCACCCGCCCAGCCCGGUCCCCAAAAGGGCCCCUACAGUGACAUUUAAACUGAGAACUGAAGGAUGAAGAGUGGGCUCUGCAAAGAAUGGAAGAAGAGAUUUCAAUAAAGGGGAAGACUAAAUG
Erinaceus europaeus (western European hedgehog) is the source of this 387-nucleotide long non-coding RNA. RefSeq lists it as uncharacterized. The transcript is spliced from 2 exons. NCBI's taxonomy places the organism in Eukaryota, Metazoa, Chordata, Mammalia, Eulipotyphla, Erinaceidae. The record is from RefSeq and is a predicted model, not a curated record.